Molecule: ribosomal RNA, 775 nt
Filed under: uncultured Neocallimastigales
Lineage: Eukaryota; Fungi; Neocallimastigomycota; Neocallimastigomycetes; Neocallimastigales
Description: partial large subunit ribosomal RNA
Rfam family: Eukaryotic large subunit ribosomal RNA
Source: RNAcentral
GAGACUCUGUGCGCGUGCAUAUCAAUAAGCGGAGGAAAAGAAACUAACAAGGAUUCCCUUAGUAACGGCGAGUGAAGCGGGAAGAGCUCAAAUUUGAAAUCUUCAAGGUUCUACCUUGACGAAUUGUAGUUUAUAGAAGUGUUUUCUGUUAGUAGAGUGGCAAAAGUUCUUUGGAAUAGGACAUCAUAGAGGGUGAGAAUCCGUAUUUGGUCAUUCCUCUCUAGCUUUGUGAUACACUUUCAACGAGUCGGAUUGUUUGGGAAUGCAGUCCAAAAUGGGUGGUAAAUUUCAUCUAAAGCUAAAUAUUGGCGAGAGACCGAUAGCGAACAAGUACCGUGAGGGAAAGAUGAAAAGAACUUUGAAAAGAGAGUUAAACAGUACGUGAAAUUGUCAAAAGGGAAGCGUUUGACACCAGUGUUGUUUAGUUGAAAAUCAAUUCAAUAGUUUUUGAUUCUAAGUAGUAUUGACUUCAUCAGCUUGCUGCUUUCUUCUCAGAAAUCAUUGAAUGCACUUUUCAGUUAACAAGUCAACAUCAAUAUUCUUUUGUUGUAUAAGGGUAAGAGGAAGGUGGCUUGCGCUUCGGCUCAAGUGUUUAUAGCCUUUUAUCUCUGCAAUCGGAGAGAUUGAGGUCUGCAGCGUAGAUCCUUCGGGGUUAGAUACAUUGGUGCUAAGCUAUAGCCUUGUAUAGACAACUUGUUGACUAUGCUCAGUCAUGUAGCUUACUCGCUGAUGCUAUUUUACCUACGCUUAGGAUGUUGACAGCAGUAUAGACUGU